GGAGGGGGCCNGCGUUGUUCGGAAUCAUUGGGCGUAAAGGGCGCCUAGGUGGCGCAGCAAGUCGGAUGUGAAAGCCCUCGGCUCAACCGGGGAAUUGCAUCCGAAACUGCUGCGCUUGAGUCCUGGAGAGGGUAGCGGAAUUCCCAGUGUAGCGGUGAAAUGCGUAGAUACUGGGAGGAACACCGGUGGCGAAGGCGGCUACCUGGACAGGUACUGACACUGACGCGCGAAAGCGUGGGGAGCAAACAGGAUUAGAUACCCUGGUAGUCCACGCUGUAAACGAUGGGCACUUGGUGUUGCGGGUAUCGACCCCUGCAGUGCCGAAGCUAACGCAUUAAGUGCCCCGCCUGGGGAGUACGGUCGCAAGGCUG
This 371-nucleotide ribosomal RNA is filed under the name uncultured bacterium. RNAcentral describes it as "bacterial SSU rRNA". It matches the Rfam family "Bacterial small subunit ribosomal RNA", at positions 527 to 896 of the family's 1533-position model. The record is from RNAcentral.